Molecule: long non-coding RNA, 1332 nt
Filed under: Equus caballus (horse)
Lineage: Eukaryota; Metazoa; Chordata; Mammalia; Perissodactyla; Equidae
Description: lncRNA (ENSECAG00000055210.1)
Source: RNAcentral
GGCUGGCAGGCAGCCACUGGUACAGCACAGCCUCUUUAGUUCCCACGUCACCCCUGAGAGCCCUCCCCUGAACUCACCAGUGACUCUCAGCAAAAUAUCACCAAUUUUACUUUGGGAUUAAUGAAAUCAGCCUGGGUAAAGAAAUCAAACCACUUUAGUGAGAAGAGAGAGAACCGCUCAGGUGGCCAGUUCGUGUGUGACGCUGUUGUGGUCAUCUCAAGGAGAGAUGAUCUCAGCCUCUUGUGGAUCCUAAUAGUAUUUUUGCCCUCCUCCCUUUUUUUCCUUUAAAGACAUUCGCUAUAAAGUACUGGGUACUUUAGGUUUAGGUUUGACUGUUCUUCUUUUACCAGACGUCACCCUCUCUGGAGCAGGAUGUGUCUCUCUUCAUCUCCAUCCCUGUGCACCAGCCUGAAACCCGGACAUCAUCUAGGACACGUCAGUCUUCCUCACUCCCCGCUUCCAAUCAAUCAUGCCCUUAUCAAGCUUCCUGAGUCUGCUCCCUUUGCUCCACCCCUGCACUGCUUUAUUUCAGGGGCCGUCAUCUCUUGCCAGCACACUUCCCCUCUCCACACUGACAGGCACCCCCAUCUCGGGUAGAGAUGGGUCAUCAAGCUCAUCUGGGCCGUAUACUGAACUCCUGCUAACUCUGCAUCCAUGUUCAUCCAUCUUCUGUCCAUCCCAACACCUCCAUGUGGCAUCGUGCUGUGCCAGCGUGAACAAUGAAGGUGCAGGCAUCAGGCAGAGGGGCCAGAACAUCAGCUGGACCCUGAGGCUGGGCUGGAGGAUGGCCUUGGACCCGCAUCUCUCCUGAGCUAGGCAGGCUCAUUCACCCACACCCCGGUCCCUCGGGCACAGUCCGCCAUGUGGCCCCAACCGCAGAGGCAGAGCCUGCCCCAGCAGGAGUCUUCCCCUCAAGCACAGACCCCUGGAGUCUGGAGUGGAAGCCCCGUGCUUGUGGGAGCUUGAGCCGUGGAGAGCAUCUCCUCCCACGUACUGCCCUCUGAGGCCGAGCUCCGGCCCCUCCUGCCCGGCCUGCUGAUGUCCACUGACUGGACCACCGGUCUCCGGGUGCCUCUCCUACCUCUCUGCCGCCCGUUCCCCAGACAGCAGCCAGAGCAGCCUCCUAAAAACAUGAAUCGGACCACAUUGCUCCCCAGCUUCAAGCCUGUUCCCACCUGGGGGUCUUUGCUGGUCCCCUGGCCAGGAAGGGCCUGCUCCCAGAUUGUAAACAGCUGAUCCUUCCUGAGUGCUAUUUGGAACAAUACAUCCAGAGUCAGCCCCAAAUCACUUCCCCAGAAAGGCUGACCUGCUCCACCCAGACCAAGGUCAACC